GAUGAACGCUGGCGGUGUGCCUUAAGCAUGCAAGUCGAACGGGUUUUGUAGCAAUACAAGACCAGUGGCAGACGGGUGAGUAACGCGUAGGAAUCUACCUUGAAAUGGGGAAUAGCUAGCCGAAAGGUUAGGUAAUACCGCAUGACAUCGCAAGAUCAAAGGCCUUAACCGGCCGUUUCAAGAGGAGCCUGCGUCCUAUCAGCUAGUUGGUGAGAUAACAGCCCACCAAGGCGAUGACGGGUAGGGGGUGUGAGAGCACGGCCCCCCACAAAGUCACUGAGACAAGGGACUUACACCUACGGGUGGCAG
RNAcentral lists this ribosomal RNA (309 nucleotides) under uncultured Microgenomates group bacterium. Its description in RNAcentral is "bacterial SSU rRNA". It matches the Rfam family "Bacterial small subunit ribosomal RNA", at positions 28 to 351 of the family's 1533-position model. The record is from RNAcentral.